RNAcentral lists this microRNA (19 nucleotides) under Tribolium castaneum (red flour beetle). Its description in RNAcentral is "tca-miR-6015-5p". Lineage: Eukaryota; Metazoa; Arthropoda; Insecta; Coleoptera; Tenebrionidae. The record is from miRBase by way of RNAcentral.
GGCACACCUGCCGCUCCAA